GAGCACGUAGGUGGGUUUGUAAGUCAGAUGUGAAAGCCUUCUGUUCAACGGGAGAAUUGCAUCUGAAACUACAGACCUUGAGUAUAGGAGGGGAGAAUGGAACUUCUGGUGGAGCGGUGAAAUGCGUAGAUAUCAGAAGGAACGCCGGCGGCGAAAGCGAUUCUCUGGCCUAUUACUGACACUCAGUGUGCGGAAGCUAGGGGAGCAAACGGGAUUAGAUACCCCGGUAGUCCUAGCCGUAAACGAUGGGCACUAAGUAGAGGGGUUUU
RNAcentral lists this ribosomal RNA (269 nucleotides) under uncultured Planctomycetales bacterium. RNAcentral's name for it is "partial 16S ribosomal RNA". It matches the Rfam family "Bacterial small subunit ribosomal RNA", at positions 565 to 832 of the family's 1533-position model. Lineage: Bacteria; Pseudomonadati; Planctomycetota; Planctomycetia; Planctomycetales. The record is from RNAcentral.